UAGGAUUUUCUUAGGCUUUCUUUCUUGUAAUUGAGUCUGUUUUAGAUUCUUCUUAGUUACAUACUGUCCAGUCUUAAUUGUUUAGGUUGUAUAUAGUCUAGGUAAUUCUGUUUAGGCAUUUGUAGGUGCUUUUAGGUUCUGUUUCAAUUUUUUUUCAUUCCAUGCUGAUUUCACUCAUUUCUUAGCUUUAUUUCCUUAUAUUAGAAUUGUCAAGAGUAGACUUAGCUUUAGAUUUAGGCAGAGGUAUUUCUAGCAUUGAUUUUUGCAGUCUCUAGUUCAUUUUGAUUCAGUAAUUUUUGCAUAGGAUGAGUAGCAAGUCAGUUUUAACAAUUCUUAAACCCUUGAGAGAUUUUGGGCCAAUUUUGUCUUUCUUGUGUGAUACAUGCAUGUUUAAUUGUCAUUCUAAUUUUGCAUUGAUUCUUUAUUGAUGUGCUUGCUCUUGGUAACUUUAAAUAUGAUCUAGGCAUCCUUCAUUUUCAGCCAUAGCCAAUUUAAC
This 496-nucleotide long non-coding RNA is filed under the name Vigna radiata. RNAcentral's name for it is "long non-coding RNA (VRAD_LNC011063)". The record is from RNAcentral. Lineage: Eukaryota; Viridiplantae; Streptophyta; Magnoliopsida; Fabales; Fabaceae.